RNAcentral lists this ribosomal RNA (301 nucleotides) under uncultured bacterium. RNAcentral describes it as "partial 16S ribosomal RNA". It matches the Rfam family "Bacterial small subunit ribosomal RNA", at positions 509 to 807 of the family's 1533-position model. The record is from RNAcentral.
CAGCAGCCGCGGGAAUACGGAGGGUGCAAGCGUUAAUCGGAAUUACUGGGCGUAAAGCGUGCGUAGGUGGUGGUUUAAGUCCGUUGUGAAAGCCCUGGGCUCAACCUGGGAAUUGCAGUGGAUACUGGGUCACUAGAGUGUGGUAGAGGAUAGUGGAAUUUCCGGUGUAGCAGUGAAAUGCGUAGAGAUCGGAAGGAACAUCUGUGGCGAAGGCGACUAUCUGGGCCAACACUGACACUGAGGCACGAAAGCGUGGGGAGCAAACAGGAUUAGAGACCCCGGUAGUCCCUGUCUCUUAUAC